UUUUUCACACUUAAAUUAAUGAAUCUUUCAUGGUAUUUACAGGAUCAUUCCCUUUAAAAAUCAAAAAAAAAAAAAAAAAUGCUGUUGAACCAAAUGGAUGGUGUCUGUACAACCUCUGCAUAAAAAUAUCAAAUGCGUGUUGUACAGGACAGAGUACCUGCAUGUAGAUCACAAGCCCUGAAGGAAGCUCCAAGCUUCCAGGUCUAUGUGGCAUGAUUCCUACGGCAUUGGGAUGACAAUACAAAUCCUGUGCAAUAAAGAAUAACAAUUUGGUCACAGAAAACCCAACCAUGUUCACUUAGCCUAAUCCGUUUCAAAUUUCAAAUAAAACACUGAUAUAUUCUGAUAUCUUAAUUCUGAUGUGACCAUCCACUUCUUGUAGCUUGUUGCAGAUUGUUGUAGCUCCAAGACAGACAAGACAUACCAUGUCAAAAGAGACCACCAGCCAUCUGUCUCUCUCCCAUGGCAUUUUAGACUCCCCUACACAGAAGUGAACACAAAACUGAAUAAAUACAUUUUAAUGAAGUGAGCAGGUGGUUUCCUGAGCUGAGUGCCAUGCCUCGUAAUCAAGCCAUCGCGAUCAAUAUUGAGCACCACAUCCUAAUGAACUUGCGAAUAAACAAGUCUCCGUCAAGGUCUAGAAUACUUAAAGGGGUUAUAUGAAGCAAUUUAAUUUUUUAGUUUCUCUUAGGAGUGUUACAAGCUCUUGGUGCAUAAAAAAGAUCUGUAAAGUAGCAAAAACUAAAGUCUCAAAUCCCAAGAGAUGUUCUUUAUAAAAGUUGAAUCAACCACGCCUAACUUAAACGCCCCGAUGUGUCUACAUCACGAUGUGGGAAGAUUUGCAUAAUGCUGCCCAAAUUUUCAUGCAAAAAAAGGAGGCGCAACUUUUAUUCUUGCUGUUGCCGCCGCCACCAUGUUGUGGAGAUUUUCGUUGUGAAAACAAAACUACUUUGUUUGGUCUUCUAAAAGAAGACAGAAAUCAGUGGUUAAGUUUUUACAAUAAGUAUGAUCUGUAUUUACAACACUGGUCUACAACAGUUCAACCCAAAUAUUUAGAUGUCUUCAGCACAUUUUAUGGAGGAUGAGGACUGUUUCCAGUGAGAGUAGCCUACAAUACCAGUGUCUGUUUCUAAAAUGUGGGGCAAUUCCAACUUAGCAAGUACAGUCUGGUGCUUCUGACUCAUAGCCCGUCAAUACGUUAUUAUGUUUAAAGAAUUUGCCACUGAUGAUUCAAACGUGAGGUUUGAGCAGUGAAUAGUAGUGCUUGUUUGUUGUUUCUCUGAUCACAAAUGCAUACAUGGUUUUAUGUUUACACAGUGUGAUACGCAACGCAUAAAAAGACAGUACAAGUCAUUAUAAUUAGUAAUUAUGUCCCCACUUUAUGCAACAAAUGUCUGUUAAUUUCUGUCACAUGCAUGAUGAAUUCAGCCACAACGCACUAGAUAGCUGGCAAAUCAGUGCACACCUCGCUUUUCAGAACAAUGAGCUUUGUAAAAAUCUAUGCGUCCCACAAAGUCCGGGCAUAGAGGAGCAACAAUAAUGUACAUUAUGUGGAAAAUAAGGUUUCCUGUGCCAACCCAGUGACACAGAUAUUAGCAUGCGUGAGUUUACAGGUCCACCAAUAUGAAAAACUAAUCAUAGUUAUUUCAAAUGCAUGAUUAGAAGAAAAAGUGUUUUAAAUAAAUAAGUCGAAGGUUAAAGUCACAAUGAAACACAAGUACUGGCAUCUUUUCUUCGGAACCGUGAUGUACAUCUGAGUGUAGUCUCUCGUAGCCAGACCUUCAGACUGACAUCAGUGGAUUAGUGCAUUAGCAUGGUUUAAAUCGUACUUAUAUGACCACCUCAGUUCGUAGCAGUGAAUGAAGAUGUAUCAUAUCGAUCACAAGUGCAGUAUGGAGUACCUCAAGGCUCAGUACUAUGGCCGCUACUCUUCACGCUUUAUAUGUUACCCUUGGGAGAUCUCAUCAGGAAACAUGGUGUUAGCUUUCACUGUUAUGCUGAUGAUACUCGGCUCUAUAUUUCCUCGCAGCCCGGUGAAACACACCAAUUUGAAAAACUAAUGGAAUGCAUAGUCGAUAUAAAACAUUGGAUGACGAGUAAUUUCUUACUGCUAAAUUCAGAAAAAACAGAGGUGUUAAUUAUAGGGCCUAAAAACUCUGCUUGUAAUAACCUAGAACACUGUCUAAGACUUGAUGGUUGCUCUGUCAAUUCUUCGUCAUCAGUUAGGAACCUAGGUGUGCUACUUGAUCGCAAUCUUUCCUUAGAAAGCCACGUUUCUAGCAUUUGUAAAACUGCAUUUUUCCAUCUCAAAAAUAUAUCUCAAUUACGGCCUAUGCUCUCAAUGUCAAAUGCAGAAAUGUUAAUCCAUGCAUUUAUGACUUCAAGGUUAGACUAUUGUAAUGCUUUAUUGGGUGGUUGUUCUGCACGCUUAGUAAACAAACUACAGCUAGUCCAAACUGCAGCAGCAAGAGUUCUUACUAGAACCAGGAAGUAUGACCAUAUUAGCCCGGUCCUGUCCACACUGCACUGGCUUCCUAUCAAACAUCGUAUAGAUUUUAAAAUAUUGCUUAUUACUUAUAAAGCCCUGAAUGGUUUAGCACCUCAGUAUUUGAAUGAGCUCCUUUUACAUUAUACUCCUCUACGUCCGCUACGUUCUCAAAACUCAGGCAAUUUGAUAAUACCUAGAGUAUCAAAAUCAACUGCGAGCGGCAGAUCAUUUUCCUAUUUGGCGCCUAAACUCUGGAAUAACCUACCUAACAUUGUUCGGGAGGCAGACACACUCUUGCAGUUUAAAUCUAGAUUAAAGACCCAUCUCUUUAACCUGGCAUACACAUAACAUACUAAUAUGCUUUUAAUAUCCAAAUCCGUUAAAGGAUUUUUAGGCUGCAUUAAUUAGGUAAACCGGAACCGGAAACACUUCAAAUAACCCCCUAUGUACUUGCUACAUCAUUAGAAGAAUGGCAUCUACGCUAAUAUUUGUCUGUUUCUCUCUUGUUCCGAGGUCACCGUGGCCACGAGAUCCAGUCUGUGUCCAGAUCAGAGGGUCACUGCAGUCACCCGGAUCCAGUACGUAUCCAGACCAGAUGGUGGAUCAGCACCUAGAAAGGACCUCUACUGCCCAGAAAGACAGCGGAGACCAGGACAACUAGAGCCCCAGAUACAGAUCCCCUGUAAAGACCUUGUCUCAGAGGACCACCAGGACAAGACCACAGGAAACAGAUGAUUCUUCUGCACAAUCUGACUUUGCUGCAGCCUGGAAUUAAACUACUGGUUUCGUCUGGUCAGAGGAGAACUGGCCCCCCAACUGAGCCUGGUUUCUCCCAAGGUUUUUUUCUCCAUUCUGUCACCGAUGGAGUUUCGGUUCCUUGCCGCUGUCACCUCUGGCUUGCUUAGUUGGGGUCACUUCAUCUACAGUGAUAUCAUUGACUUGAUUGCAAAUAAAUGCACAGACACUAUUUAACUGAACAAAGAUGACAUCACUGAACUCAAUGAUGAACUGCCUUUAACUAUCAUUUUGCAUUAUUGACACACUGUUUUCCUAAUGAAUGUUGUUCAGUUGCUUUGAUGUAAUGUAUUUUGUUUAAAGCGCUAUAUAAAUAAAGGUGACAUUGACAUUGA
This is a long non-coding RNA of Carassius gibelio (silver crucian carp), 3618 nucleotides long. RefSeq lists it as uncharacterized. The record is from RefSeq and is a predicted model, not a curated record. NCBI's taxonomy places the organism in Eukaryota, Metazoa, Chordata, Actinopteri, Cypriniformes, Cyprinidae. The transcript is spliced from 2 exons.